AUGCAAAUGAGCGACAAUGCAUCCACCUGCCAAGCUGUUUAGGCAGCAUUUGAGGCGAGCGAAUGAGAGCGCACAGAAGUGCGCUUGUGUUUGGAAAUACUCAGACGGGCAUUCACGGCGUUCAAGCUGUUCACGGAGUUGUCAGGUGGCUUUUACGCUUCUAACGCGUCUUAGCUUAAUAUCCAAUGGGAUUUUAUAACAACUGUACCAAAUGAACACUAUAAUAGAGAAGAAGAAGCACACCGCGCUCAGGUGUUCAGAGAGAUAAGGACUGGACCUCACUAUACCUGCAGGACCCGGGACAUACGAACAUUAACCAGAACCCAGACAUUUCCUGGAUUCACUCUUUGAAUUCAACUCAAAGUUUCUUCUGGACAGCUUGGAGCAAGCAGUGACCUCUUCAAGUGUGUCUUUCUGAAUUCAACGGAUGCACCAUGCUGUUGGACAGUCUAUGGUCAGUCCAGGUUCUCCUGGCUCUAUCUGUCCUAACAUUGGGUUCGGGCGGCGAACCUCAGAACGCCCCUCGGGUCUUCUUGUCCUUCAAAGAAAACCAAACACCUCAUUCUCUCGCUGUCUGCUCGUUCCAUUGAGGAACAGUUUUGCCCAAGGAGAUCUGAGGUCUACUGGUACAGCCCAUCACUUCUCUUUCCUGUUGAACACAUCAGACUAUCGCAUCCUGCGCAUGGAUGAGGAUCACGACCGCAUGUAUGUGGGCAGCAAAGACUACAUCCUGUCUCUGGACCUCCAUGACAUCAACCGAGAACCCCUCAUAAUACACUGGCCUGUUUCUCCACAGAGGAAGAUGGAGUGUGUUCUGAGUGGCAAAGACACAAACGUGAGUGCCGUCUUUCAAUUUCUUUGCUUCCACUCCGCUCACAUAUGCUUUAAUCUGGAAGGCGAAGAAAAACUCAGAAUAGCACUCAGCCCUUCAAAUAAGUGUUCUAAUUUUUCCAAGAAUUAUUCCAGACAAUCUAAUAUUUGCUUUCAAUUUCCCUUUCAGGAAUAUGUCUUCCAUCUGGAGCCCGGCAAGGAGGAUUCUGGGAAGGGAAAGUGCCCAUAUGAUCCAAAACUGAACAGUGUCUCCACUUUGAUUAAUGGAGAACUGUAUGCAGGGGUGUAUAUUGAUUUCAUGGGAACAGACUCUGCUAUUUUCCGAACUUUGGGGAAAAAUGCAGUCAUGCGCACUGACCAAUACAACUCAAGAUGGCUAAAUGACCCCUCAUUUGUCCAUGUGCACCUUAUCCCUGACAGCAACGAAAAAAACGAUGACAAACUCUACUUUUUCUUCCGUGAGAAGUCUUCCGAGAUGGGCCAGAGCCCCAAAUUACAGUCACGCAUCGGUCGAAUCUGCCUGAACGAUGAUGGCGGUCACUGCUGCUUGGUCAACAAGUGGAGCACCUUCCUGAAAGCCCGUCUCAUCUGCUCAGUCCCAGGAGCUGAUGGGAUUGAAACACAUUUCGACGAGCUCAGGGAUGUGUACAUACAGCCUACGCAGGACACUAAAAAUCCCGUCAUCUAUGGGGUCUUCUCUGUGUCUGGCUCUGUAUUCAAAGGCUCAGCGGUCUGCGUCUACUCAAUGGCAGACAUUCGGAUGGUGUUCAAUGGACCUUUUGCUCACAAAGAAGGUCCCAAUUAUCAGUGGGUGGCCUACUCUGGAAAAAUCCCCUACCCUCGUCCAGGAACAUGUCCUGGUGGGACUUUCACCCCUAACAUGAAGUCCACGAAAGACUACCCUGACGAGGUCAUCAACUUCAUGCGGAACCAUCCCACCAUGUACAAUACUGUGUAUCCGGUGCACAAGCGCCCCCUGGUGGUCAGGACCAACGUAGACUAUGAGUUCACCACCAUCACUGUGGACCAGGUGACUGCAGCCGAUGGCAACUACGAAGUGCUCUUCCUGGGUACAGACAGAGGUACAGUACAGAAGGUUAUCGUCCUGCCCAGAGAUGACCUGCAGACAGAGGAACUACUGCUAGAGGAAGUGGAGGUCUUUAAGGUGAGAUCUGCACCGGGGUCUCCAGGUCAACAACUAUAUGUAGCGUCAGCGGUUGGUGUGACUCAUCUGGCCCUGCACAGGUGUGAUGUCUAUGGCGAGGCCUGCGCAGACUGCUGUUUGGCCCGGGACCCUUAUUGUGCAUGGGAUGGCAAGUCCUGUUCUCGGUACUCUGCCUCACAGAAGAGACGCAGUCGGCGACAGGAUGUGAAAUACGGGAAUCCCAUACGGCAGUGCAGAGGAUACAAUUCUAACACUAAUAAGAACACUCUGGAGACGGUGCAGUAUGGGGUGGAGGGCAGCAGCACGUUUUUGGAGUGCCAGGCCAGAUCACCCCACGCUGCCAUUAAAUGGCAUCUCCACCGAGACAACAGCGAUAGAAGGAGAGAGGUCCGUACCGAUGGGCGCGUGUUGAAGACAGAUCAAGGCCUACUACUGCCUUCCCUCCAGUCCUCAGACUCUGGCAUCUACGUUUGCACAACGGCAACUAUUCACCUUAAAACGAUGACUUUUUCCUCAACAGUUAAUGGUAUUGUUACUAUUCCUGCAAAGCGCCACAUGGCCCCGAAAACCAGUGUGAAGCAGCGUCUUACAUUGAGAGAAAAUGGUUGUACAAUUUCUUGGUAUUUUUAA
Cyprinus carpio (common carp) is the source of this 2626-nucleotide long non-coding RNA. The record is from Ensembl. NCBI's taxonomy places the organism in Eukaryota, Metazoa, Chordata, Actinopteri, Cypriniformes, Cyprinidae.